GUAUCCUGGCUCAGGAUGAACGCUAGCUACAGGCUUAACACAUGCAAGUCGAGGGGGCAGCAUGACCUAGCAAUAGGUUGAUGGCGACCGGCGCACGGGUGAGUAACACGUAUCCAACCUACCGGUUAUUCCGGGAUAGCCUUUCGAAAGAAAGAUUAAUACCGGAUAGUAUAACGAGAAGGCAUCUUUUUGUUAUUAAAGAAUUUCGAUAACCGAUGGGGAUGCGUUCCAUUAGUUUGUUGGCGGGGUAACGGCCCACCAAGACA
RNAcentral lists this ribosomal RNA (266 nucleotides) under uncultured bacterium. RNAcentral describes it as "partial 16S ribosomal RNA". It matches the Rfam family "Bacterial small subunit ribosomal RNA", at positions 14 to 275 of the family's 1533-position model. The record is from RNAcentral.